This 523-nucleotide unclassified non-coding RNA is filed under the name uncultured eukaryote. RNAcentral describes it as "partial contains ITS1, 5.8S rRNA, and ITS2". The record is from RNAcentral.
CAUCUUACUUGAUUUCAGGUGCAAAUAUUAAAAGUGUCUACAAAGUAGUUCACAAAUACAUGUGACUGCUACAAAGAGCAUAUACUUAAUAAGUGAAUUUUCACUUACAUUUGUAUUGUUGAAUUGUGUGAGCACACUGAAACAAGUAUACUGGUUUUACCAGUGCAAGUUGCGUUCAAAGAUCCAAUGAUUCAUGGUUCUGCAAUUCACAUUGCAUAUCGCAUUCUAGCUGCGUUCUUCAUCGGUAUGGGAGCCAAGACAUCCAUCGUUGAAAAUUUAAAGAUUUUAUCAACCUUAUAAAUUCAUUUAUUGAUUUAUCUUGUUGUAUGAUAAUAAAUUUGUAGUCGAAACUACAAAGUUUACUUCAGUUAGUUAUUAGUUUAUUUUUUUGUUAAUGAUCCUUCCGCAGGUUCACCUACGGAAACCUUGUUACGACUUCUCCUUCCUCUAGGUGAUAAGGUUUACUUAUUUUCCCGUAAACGGUCCAAUAAAUUCACCGUAUCACCCGGUAUCGGUAGGAGCG